AUGGUUCUGGACAGUGCUUCUCAGAGAACAGGAGCUUAUUGGAGAUGUUUCCAUUGGGGGCAUCAUCUGUCCAGGCUGAUAAUAAUGAGAGGGCCUCUGGAAAGAGACAAAAAAGCGUGCCACCCCCACCCAAGCCACCCCCUUUAUCUUUGUUUCGGAUGGCUCUCCAUCCAUAAUGCCGGCCAACCGUAGGUCGUCCUGCUCACGCGACCCGAGAAGUACUUUGGAUGAAGCUAAAGGAUUUUCCCCCUUUCCUGUGGUU
Molecule: long non-coding RNA, 262 nt
Filed under: Felis catus (domestic cat)
Lineage: Eukaryota; Metazoa; Chordata; Mammalia; Carnivora; Felidae
Description: lncRNA (ENSFCAG00000049540.1)
Source: RNAcentral